This 10903-nucleotide long non-coding RNA is filed under the name Salvia miltiorrhiza (redroot sage). RNAcentral's name for it is "long non-coding RNA (SMIL_LNC008035)". The record is from RNAcentral. Lineage: Eukaryota; Viridiplantae; Streptophyta; Magnoliopsida; Lamiales; Lamiaceae.
UCUUCUUCACUCUUUCAAGUGCGUGUGGAACGUGCCCCGGUCCAAACCCUAAGCCCAAACCUAAGCCAAAGCCGAAGCCAACUCCAAGCCCUAGCAAGGGUAGUUGUCCUAGAGAUACCCUAAAACUAGGGGUGUGUGCUAACUUGCUCGGCGGAUUGCUUGGUGUGACCAUCGGAACUCCUCCAAAAAAGCCGUGCUGCAGCCUCAUCGAGGGUUUGGCUGACUUGGAGGCGGCCGUUUGCCUUUGCACCGCGAUCAAAGCCAAUGUUCUUGGGAUCAACCUAAAUGUGCCUGUUUCCCUUAGCUUGCUUCUCAAUGUUUGCUCCAAGAAAGUUCCAAAGGGUUUCGUUUGCGCCUAAUUAAUUUGGGUCACGGCAUCUUGUGUUUUUUGUGAUAUUAUGUUCUUAAUUUCCUAAGAUUCUUUAGUUUUUAGCUUUGCAGUUCUUGUGCAUGGCAGCUUUACUUGUUUUAUGUUUGUUUGGUUAGUUAAUAAUUUGGGUGGCAAAAUCAUGCCCGCUAUAUAUGCAUGUGAGCUUGGAAUGAUAUAUGUAAUAGUUUGUCGAUCGUAAUGUUACAUUUGCAGUAAUUAAUAUAACGAAGGAUAUCGCUACUAAUUAAAACCGUAGAAGUUAUUAACGAUAAAUUCUACAACCUCCGUCCCAUUUAAUUUGGCACACUUUCCUUUUUUAUUUGUUCCACUUAAAUUGACAAUUUCCUAAAAUAGUAUGUGAUCCCUAUUUUUUCUACACACAUAAAAUAAGUAGACCCUAUCUAGUUUACACUCAUAACCUUUUAUUCUUAAUCUUCAUGUUCAUCAAUUUAAAAGGUUUUGUCUACCCUACGUCGCCACAUUCUACGCACUGUCGUAGAUGGACUGACACGUGUUCUCUCUAUUUUAUAAUUUGUUUUGUUAUUUGUUUUAUACUUUUGCUUAACCCAGACCCGGACCCGGAUUACUGUUGAAUACCACUUGCACCGUUUUUUUGCAUGGCUGUUUUGCAGAAGCUAACCUUCCAUCUUGGAUUAUGUGCCUCCCCUAAUUACUUUGACUCUAAAAAAUUAGGUUGACACGUUUCGAUCUGUAGUUGACGGAUCAUUAUGAUUUUUCAUUCCCCACCGUUGGAUUACACUUUAAAAAAUUUGGGCUAUACCCACGUUGCCGGUGUACGACGGCCAGCUUCUACUUCAACGGCUUCUUCUUCUUUUUCACAAGGCUUUUACUUAUUCUGUGGAAGUAUUAUCUUGUGAGGGUAAAAUAAAAAAUUUCAAAAUGGGUUCUCCAGCAGUGUUGUUAUUCUUUGACGUUGUAAGCUUCGUCGAAGUAUAAUAUUCUCCGGCACUCACCGUUCACCUUCGUUGCUGCUGCAUUACUGUGUGAAAGCUCUGACAGGUUUACCUAGAAAACCCAUAAAGGAUUAUUGGAAGGUUGUUAAAUUUUCCAAUGCACCAAGACAGGUAAAUAUGCACGAUUGUGGUAUAAUGGCUAUUAAAUUUAUGGAGUGUUGUGCUUUUAACGUGUCAGUGACGGAAAUCAUUCCAUCCCGAUGUGAGAAAUCCCGGCGCCGUUAUUGUGCCAAGUUAUUGGCACUCUCCGAAGAUCUGCAGCGUGGCUCUGUUGCGUGAGUCGCUAUGAAUUUAUCGUUUUCUGGGUCUGGUAUAAUUUGAGUUGGUGGUGUAGUCAUCAAACUCCUUUUGAAAAAUGUUGAACAUUUGAUAUUUUGGUACUCGGGGCUAUCUUAGUGUACUUGUUUUUUACAAUAGAAUGUUUAUUGUGGUGUUCUUAGCUGCUAAGUAUAAAGUAGUGACAACAUAUUUGAAGUUCGGAAAGCGAUUUUCCCAUAUAUAUAUAUACGUAGGAAUAUAAAUGUUUAGUUUUUUACAGUAAUUAAUUAUAUUAUCUAAGACAAUGCGAUGAAGUAAUAACGAAAAUUAUAUGCCUUUUUCUGAAUGGAACAAUGUUAACUAAUAAUGACAACAUUAUAUGUUAUUACAGGAAUUACAAAUUCAGUCAUUUUUAAAAAAACAAAAUACCAGAUAAGCCUAAAAUUUUGGAGGAAACUAUAGCCAUAAUACAGAAUACUACUACUAUGUAUCAACAAUAACAAAACUACCGUCUUCCCAUACGAAACGUCUGAUAUUAACUUGAAUCGUGGACGUAUGAUCUGGACUACAAGUUCCAACGAUGUUGAAGUAUACCACAUCCCCAACUUGAAGUCCAUGUUCAACGUAGAACUUCAUGCAUCACGUGAGCGAGUACUAUGGUUUUUUUUUUUGUUGAUGGCUUUUUUGAAAAAGUAAAAUAUUCUUUGAGAAUAUAUUCGUUUUUUUUUAACCUUUUCAGAAUUUAUGUCAUAUAAGCUUUAUCCUUUUCAGAAGAUGUAAACAAAUAUAUGAAAUAGCAAAUAAAAUCUAUGUUUCCGUUGACAGCCAAAGCUCCUUCCUAUCGAAAAUAUACUAAAAAGAAAGCCGGUGCUGUAUUCACAGCCAAAGCUGCUACUGUGGUUCUGCCGUCGGUUUCAAUUUACAUGUCUAGUUCACCUUCAACAUCUCAGGUACGUUGCCAUGCGUUUCUUAGUCGGUAGUUCACCUUCAACAUCUCACAGUAUGGUCGUUCUGUUUCUUUUAAUUCCUAGAAAUGGUGUUUUAUAUUCACUAAAUUAGAAUUUUAGUAUUCAGUUGGUUUUAUGGUGUUUGGCUACGUGUCUACAAAUUGGAGAUUAAUUGUUUUUGUGUCAUCUCAUAACCAAGCGGUUCUCACCGCCAUAUUAGCUACGUGUAGUUAUUGUAAUUGUUUUUAUUUUUUCACAAUAUAAUAAUGCCUCAACCUUUUUAAUUGAUUUGGAUGACAUGUAGAUUUCGAAAUGAAUGAAUUACCCCCAUAAUAUUAUAGUUGAAAUUAAAUGAUCUAUUUGAAUAAAUAAAUUUAAAUAUUAAAUAGAAACAAAAUAUAAUAAAUAUAAAAAUGUUGAAAAAGAAUUAAAAUUACAAAGAGAUUUAACUAUUAAACAUAAUAUAAUACAUAUAUAUAUAUAUAUAUUUAUAUAUUUAUAUAAAACUAAAUACAAACAUAAAUGAUGUCAAAUAAAAAUAUGAAUGUGAAAAACAUUCGAAAUUUCAAUUUUUGAAAUAGCAAUUAAUUGAUUUAAUUGAUAAUGUGUAUAACUAUAUAAAUUAUGAACUAUGAAAAAGCAAGUAUAGAUGAUAAUGAGUAUCAUUAUGGAUCAUAUAAUAUUCUAAGAUGUACAAAACUAUUUAUUUAUAUAUAGUAUAACUAUAGUUUAAUAUAGUCUUUGAAUAAAUAUUUAAAUCAUGCAUAUUUAUGCGAUUAUUUUGUUUAAAUAAAAUUUUAAAAUAAAGUUCAUAUCAACGUAUACAAUCGUUUAUCAAUUGGAAGUGGAAAAAUAAUUAACAUGAGAUAUGUGUCAUUCAUUUUUAAAAUUAAAUAUAUACUAUUUCAGUGAAUAUAAAUAAACGUGGUACUACAAAAUUAAACUCUUCAAUUUUUAUCUUAUUUUUCAUUUUAAAAAAAUGGAUAAUAGUUCUCCAAUUUACGAUUUUCCUAUGAGUCCUUUUGAAGCUUAAUAAUAUUCAACUGCAAGUUUUUAUAUUUGUACAUGUAGAUUGAAAAAUAUUUCAUCACCUGAUUUAACUUAAUGUAAAUUAUUUGAAUAAAUAAUACNCUGGGAAUGUGCCAUUUUACGGGCAGAGCGCAACAAAUAACUUUCGCUUGGAUGUACCAAUUCAUGAUUGUGCUCUUUCUCGAACAAAGUUACGACCCAAGGAGAAUCAACAUCUGUACGGCUAACACGUAGCCUAGCCUUGCAGUUGCUUCUAUAACUCUGCUUUUUGUAGGCCGCUAGUCUACCAUUUGAGGCCUUGUUAUCAGGUGGUCCCUCGCAUGAACAAUGAAAAGCCUUGGAACAUUCAAUUUCUGUGUUUUUGAAUUUCCCUUGCGCCCCUUUCCUAGCUGAAAAUCCAAUCAUCUUCGCAUAUUGACAAUACAACACAAAAACUUCGUCAAGGGUGUCAAUAGCACUUCCAACAUUAAUCAUGGAUUCCACUGCACGCAAUGUCACUAAAUCUCCAUUCACACUUUCUUCCUCAACUGAUUCACCAUUCGGUUCGUCUUCGUUGGCACGAACACUUUCUUCGGACAUUGCAUCAGUCGAUUGCUCAUUAUCACCUCCUGAAUCACUCUUACUUAAAUCAAAUUGAAUACCAUUGCCACUAUAACUAUCGGAACACCCAUCGCUGCUGCAGGAUAUAUUUAAAUCGAUAUCCAUUUCCCUUCAAUUCACAAGAGCAGAUUCUGCAAUGGCGUGGAAAAUAUAAGUUGCCUUAGCCAAUAAUAAUCACUACUGCACCUAAAUAAAUAAAGGGAAUGCAGUAAGAAAAGGGCUAACUACCGUAAAUAACGAUUAUAUUUUUUUCACAAGAAUUACCAACAAUAAUUAAAUAUUUUCCCAAUAAUUAUAUAAUUACCAACAAUAAAUAUACAAAAAAAAGAACGAAUAUUAAGACGGCAAUAAUCAUAUUUUAUCCCACAAAGAUUACCAACAGAAAACCAAAAAAAAUAAGAGAACCCAUUUUGAAAGCAUCGAGAAUUCUUAACAAUAUUGAGUGCCGAUUUUGAAAAUAAGAGAACCCAUUUUGAAAGCUUCGAGAAUUCUUAAAAAUAAGAGAACCCAUUUUGAAACCCAUUUUGAAAGCUUCAAAAAUUACCAACAAAAAACCAAAAGGUAUAAAUUUACCUUCGAUAAUUCUUAACACAGUAAUGCAGCAGCAUGAAAGGUGAACGGUGAGUGCCGGAGAAUAUUAUACUUCGACGAAGCUUACAACGUCAAAGAAAGGUGAACGGUGAGUGCCGGAGAAUAUUAUACUUCGACGAAGCUUACAACGUCAAAGAAUAACAACACUGCUGGAGAACCCAUUUUGAAAUUUUUUAUUUUACCCUCACAAGAUAAUACUUCCACAGAAUAAGUAAAAGCCUUGUGAAAAAGAAGAAGAAGCCGUUGAAGUAGAAGCUGGCCGUCGUACACCGGCAACGUGGGUAUAGCCCAAAUUUUUUAAAGUGUAAUCCAACGGUGGGGAAUGAAAAAUCAUAAUGAUCCGUCAACUACAGAUCGAAACGUGUCAACCUAAUUUUUUAGAGUCAAAGUAAUUAGGGGAGGCACAUAAUCCAAGAUGGAAGUUUAGCUAAAUUCUACAACCUCCGUCCCAUUUAAUUUGGUGCACUGGUUUCCUUUUUUAUUUGUUCCACUUAAAUUGACAAUUUCCUAAAAUAGUAUGUGAUCCCUAUUUUUUCUACACACAUAAAAUAAGUAGACCCUAUCUAGUUUACACUCAUAACCUUUUAUUCUUAAUCUUCAUGUUCAUCAAUUUAAAAUUGUGCCAAUUUAAGUGGAUUGGAGGGAGUAUUUGACAAGUAAAUUAAUCUUUUUACGGUAUGCAAAAUAAGAUUUUUUGUGGAUAUACUUGCAUAUACAAAGAAAGCGCAGAAGUACAAAUAAUUAUAUACUUGGGAAAGUAACAGGACCAAUAAUCAUAUUUAUAGCAUAUAGAUAAGGGCCAUAGAUAAGCUUAUUCUUCACCAUAACAAAGAUUCAAUUUCCAAAAACAACAUUAAAGUCCGUGCAUGAUGUUAUCCAAUCAUUAAUCAAUUUAAGCAUGAUUAUGUUCAUACGGUUGUCUGGAAUGAGAAUUGGCCUUUUUGGCUGCAGAAACUUGUUCGGAGGAUUUAAAAUAAAAAAACAUUCAAACAAAAGAAAAAAAAUUAAGCAUGAUAGGUCACUUAUUGACGAAAUAAAUAUACACACAAAAAAAGAAGAGGUGGUCUUGGAUAUAAUCGGGUGUAUUGUAUAAUCGGAUUGAUCCGCACUCAAAUCUUGACCCGCACUUUGAUUCGAAUCGGCAUCCCGAUCCAAAUCAUGUAAAUAACACUAUUCGGUUAUACAAAUGACACUGCGUAUAAAUGACACUAUAACAUUGUAAAUGACACUGUGUAUAAUUGACAUUAUUUAAAAAUAUAAAUGAUACUUCCUGUAAUUGAUAUUACUCCCUCCGUCCAUGAAUUAAAGCCCCACUUUGGUGUGAGCACGAAGACUAAGAAAGCUGAAAAAGGUGAUGUGGAUGAAAUAAAAGGGUAGUGGUUAAGAGAUUAGAGUACUUUUACAAAUUUUUGAUUAGGAGAUUGCUUUUAAUUUUUUGAUUUAUUUUUAUAUGCAUUUGUAAUUUAUUUUCCUUAUUUUUCCUUUUAUAGGUUUGUGAUUUUUUUUUCUUCUUGUUUACUUGUUUAAACAUUCACUUCGUUUUUUUUUUCUUUUUCUUUUUCUUCUUGUUUAUUUUCUGCACUUCUAUUUUUUUUUCUUUUACAAAUUGGCAGAAAUUAGCAAAGUAAAAAAAAUCGAAUGGAAUGAAGUCAACACUUAAAAGCUAUAGUAAAAAAUGAGGGAAUAGAACAUUUCAUUGCAUUUCACCAAGAAACAAGUACAGCUGUCCCUCCAAAAGUUAGGAGGGAUAAUCAAAUUCACCUAGCCUCUAAAAUCCCUAUAAAUACCACAGUAACUUCAUAAUUAGCAUUCAUUCUCGCCUACUACAAGUAAAUCACUAAAAAUAACCAUUGAAAGUCCUAAUAUCCAAGAUGAUGACAGAAACAAAAUAGCACAGUGACUUGCUUGAACAUAGCAUUGGAGGCAAGCUUGAAUAUGGUGCAAAAAAGGAGGCAACCUUUCUCUUCAAAGUGAAUUUGAAGACCAUUUGGAAGAUUUGGAGCCAAGUAUUACAUCAGCGAGCUUGUGGUGUACCUGUCCAGGUAAACUCCAUUAGAAAAGGCAGCUCAUACAAAAAUAAGAAGAGUAUUGAUGUUGAAAAAGUGAAGAAUCUUUUUGUGCUUCAAAGAUCAUCAAUGAGAAUCGUGUCUACAAACCUAAGUGUGUCUAAGUCUUUGAUUCACAAGUGGGUAAAGGAGAAAAGGCUAAAACAACAUACAAAUGCUAUAAAACCAUUUCUUACCCCACAAAAUAGGCUAUCAAGACUUAGUUGGAGCCUGAAACAAAUUAGUUCAAUAAGUGAGGGUGGUUUUAUAAAGUUCCAAAGUAUGUACAACACCAUUCACAUCGAUGAGAAAUGGUUUUACCUUACCAAAAUUAAGGAUGGGUAUUACCUCAUGCCGGAUGAAGAGGAACCGUAUAUGACAUGCAAAUCAAAGAGGUACAUUGUGUGUUGUAGCACAACCUAUAAUUGACAUAGAUGGCACAAUACUCUUUGAUGGAAAGUUUGGCAUCUUUCCUUUCACAACCAUAGAAGCAGCUCAUAGGAAUUCAAAAAACAGAAGCAAAUGUACCAUGGAGGUGAAGCCAAUUGCAGCCAUUACUAAGUCAUGAAAGCUUGCCUUAUUAAAGAUGUAAGCUGUUACAGUUUUUAUUUUAUUAAUGAAUGCUAUAGUAGAAUCUGUAACAGUUCAUCAUUUAGCCCUUUAUUUUGGCAGAUGGUCCCAAUCUUUAAAGCUAAGUGGCCAUUGGCAGCAAACAAGCACAUAUUUAUCCAACAAGAUAAUGCCAAACCCCAUAUAAAACCUGAUGAUCGAGAGAUUCUAGCGGUUGCAAAUACUGAUGGAUUUAAAAUUCAACUAGUAUGCCAGCCAGCUAAUUCGUCGGAUACAAAUGUGAAUGAUCUAGGGUUUUUCAUAGCUAUACGGACACUGAAAGAUCAAAAACCAGCAAGUAAUGUGGAGGGGUUACUAAAGAAUGUUAAAGAUGCCUAUGACGAAUACCUACCAGAAAAGCUAAACCAUGUGUUCCUCAAUUUGCAAAGUUGCUAUCACGAAAUAAUCAAGGCAAAUGGUAGAAAUAACUAUAAAAUUCCCCACAUGAACAAAGACGGACUCACAAGGCAGGGGUUGCUACCAGACUGUAUUCUGGUUGAAGAAGCACUUGUAAGGGAAAAUCUAGAGUUCCUAGAGUUAAUUGGAAGCAAGUGAAGAAGGUGAAAUUUACAACCUUGGAGAUGUCAUAGAAGGGCUGCAUCAAGUGGGCAUUACUGAUUAGUUACUAUAAAUUAGUGCAGGGUUUACAGAUACAAACACCAUGAUGGCAACAAAUAUACACAAUUGGUACCACAAAUACACAAUUGGCAGCAAAUAUACACCAUUAGCAUCAUAGAUACACAAUUGGCAGAAUAGAUACAUAUUUGGCAGCAAAUAUACACAAUUGGCAGCAAAUUAAUAUACACAAUGGGCACCAUAGAUACACCAAACGCAUAAAAUAACAGAUAAGGCAUCACCAGCCAUCCCCACAAUGCACAAUAAAUAAGAAUCACAGAAGGCAUCACCAGUCAUUCCCCACCAAAGAACUGUAAACGGAAUCACAGAAUGGCAUCACCUGAUUCGCUUGGCCUUCUCCCUAUCUCGUAUGAAAGAUUCUCUAAAUUCGGAGGUUCGCUUGGCCUCUUCCCUAUCUCGUCUGAAAGAUUCUCUAAGUUCGGAGAUUCGCUUGGCCUUCUUCCUCUCUCAUUUGAAAGAUUAAGACACUGGCUGCAUUGGCUCCGAUCUAGAGAGAGAGAGGCGCGCCGUUUCGAUUUCCGGCAGCAACCACGGCGUUUGCUUCAAAUUCCAGCAUUAUCGGCUCCGAUCCAAAGAGAGAGAGGCGCGCCGCUUCGGUUUCAGGCAGCAACCACAGUGCCACUUCGGUUUUCGACUGCAUCACCUCCGAUCCAGAGAGAUGGAGCAACCACACCACUUCUGAGCGAUCGAAAGCUGCCGCUUCGCAUUCCGGAGGCAAUGGCUCCGACACACAUAGAUCAAAGGCGGUGAAGUCCGCUUCCGACACAACCGACACUGAUUCACAGAGAUCGAAGGCCGAGAUUUGGGUUUCCGGCGUAAUCGACUCUGUUUUUUAUGGAGGAUAAAACCGAGUGACAUAGUGUAGCACAACACCCUCCAUCGAAGAUGGAGGGUAUUUUGUCUGUGACAGAUUCAUUGAGUAACAGAGAGAGGAACACGAGAGAGAGAGGCUCCUAGGGUUUAUUACAGAGAGAGGCAGACGAAGAGAGAGAUAGGCUAUAGAUCUAGGGUUUCUUCCAGAGAGAGGAAGAUGAAGAGAGAGACGAAGAGAGAUAGGCUCUAGAAAUCCUUGAAAAUGGGGAUGAAUUAAAUAAGGCUACAAAUAUUAAAUGGGGAGGGAUAAUUCUUGAUUAUUAAGUCAAUUAAUUAGCUGCACUUAGUGAAUUAAUUAAUUCUAUAAUUAAGCAGGUUUAAAAAUGGGGAUGGAUAAUUAAUGGCAAAGGGUAGUUAUUUUAAAUAAAAAGUGAGGGUAAAAGGGUACAAAAAGCAGAAUAGGGCUUUAAUUUGUGGACAAAUUUUUAAGGGUAAGUAUGACUUUAAAUUGUGGACGGAGAGCGUAUAAGAUUGUAAUUGACACUAUAACAUUUUAAAAUGUUACAGUGUCAUUUAUAUAACCGAAUAAUGUUAAUUAUAGGCAGUGUCAUUUACAUGAUUUGGAUCAGGAUGUAGGCUCGGAUAAAAAUGCGAGUCAAAAUCUAAGUGCGGGUCAACCCGAUUGUAUGAUACACCUGAUUGUAUCCAAGUUUUUAUGAAAAAAGAAAACACUUGCUAUCUAUCUCCGAUCGGAGCCAAAAAAAACCUUGUUAUCUGUUCCGAAGUAGUUUAUUGUAUUAUAAUUACUAGCUAGAUUUCUUCUGCUAUCGACGAUUCAACAUUAGUCGUCUAAUAAUUAUGAUCCAGUAUUCAUAUUCAAAAAGUUAAAGAGGCAAAAGUUAAAAUUAUCAAUUUACUUAACUUAAAUAAAAAUUAAUAGUGAUCAUAAUUACAGAAAUAUAGUAUUAAUUAUAUAUUUAUCAAAAAUACCUUUUUAUUAUCAUAAAUUAGAAACAUUUAAAAUCUAAAAAUUCUAUUUUAUUUUACAUAAAUUUAAAUUUGAAAAAAAAAAGAUCAAAUAGAAAAAGAAACAAUCAAAACCCUAGCCCAACUCUCCAUCAAACAGUUGCCUACUCUUCAAGAAUUCCAACGAACAACAACAGCUAGCAGGCCGCCGCCGUGAACCCCCAUCUGCCUUGUCUUUCUUUCUUGAUUUCUUCUCUAUUGACGCAAAUCCCAAGCCUUCUCUUCUUUGAUCGAUUUUCGGUAACAAUGUGUGUACGCUAGUGUGAUUAAUGUUCAAGGCCUGAGAUUCCGAGUUAGUGUCCACUAUGGCGCGGAUUUUAAAAUUCUUUAAUUGAUUGUCUACAACAAUGUAAAUCUAAAAUCUUUUGGAGUUUGGGACGGUGGCAGAGUUGGUAGUUUUCAGUUUUUCAAUUUAUGUUUUCUUAAAUUUAUUUUUCCUUUUAUUUUAUUUUUAUUAGAUAAUUUUAUUAUUAAAGAUAAAAUCAUCUAGUUAUUCCAAAAAUAGUUAGUAUUAAUAUGUUUUUAGUUUUGUGGUUACCAUGAAUAUUUUGUUAACCAAAUUAGUUAUUUAGAGCUAUUAUAACAACGCUUACCUGAUCAAAUGUUGUAAUUAUGACAUAUAUGAGCUAUUGGCAAAGACGCGAUAUACUAGCAUUACUACUUUCAUUUUACGGCCAUAAUUAGAGAAAGUUUAAAUAUAUAUGGGAAGGAUUAAAGAAAAUCUAGGUUUUUCUUUCAUUAUGGUAAUGAUGAUAAAGGGUAAAAACAAAUCUAAAUUGUAAUAAAUUGGUUUGGUCCUAAAUUAGCUGGAAGUCUAAGUCAUGGGCCAUGAGAAUAAUAGUAUUGCCCGUGACUCAAGAUUUGGUGCAAUGUAAUGACCUUCUUCAACCAAUCAAAAACAAAAAAAAUACUUAAAUCUUUUUUCAUUUCUACAUCAAUGGAUGGCGGCAUUCUAACAAGAUAAUUUAUUUAUUUAUUCUCACUAAAUUAGAAACUUUUGUUUAU